UUUGUCUCGGUUUUACCAGACGGGAUUCGGGAGUCUUUCUCUCGGGAUUUUGCAGGACAGGAUUUAUUUUGGGGGGG
Long non-coding RNA from Sander lucioperca (pikeperch), 77 nucleotides. RefSeq lists it as uncharacterized. The record is from RefSeq and is a predicted model, not a curated record. NCBI's taxonomy places the organism in Eukaryota, Metazoa, Chordata, Actinopteri, Perciformes, Percidae. The transcript is spliced from 3 exons.